UUCCGUGGUUUUGGCGAGAGUAAAAUACCUGGUUCCAUUCCGAACCCAGUAGUUAAGGCUUUUUGCGCUGAUGGUACUGCACUUGUUAGGGUGUGGGAGAGUAGGUCACCGCGGGUU
Molecule: ribosomal RNA, 117 nt
Filed under: Rothia sp. ZJ932
Lineage: Bacteria; Bacillati; Actinomycetota; Actinomycetes; Micrococcales; Micrococcaceae
Also listed under: 1 other name
Source: RNAcentral